Molecule: ribosomal RNA, 497 nt
Filed under: uncultured bacterium
Lineage: Bacteria
Description: partial 16S ribosomal RNA
Rfam family: Bacterial small subunit ribosomal RNA
Source: RNAcentral
GAUGAACGCUGGCGGCGUGCCUAAUACAUGCAAGUCGAGCGAACGGACGAGAAGCUUGCUUCUCUGAUGUUAGCGGCGGACGGGUGAGUAACACGUGGAUAACCUACCUAUAAGACUGGGAUAACUUCGGGAAACCGGAGCUAAUACCGGAUAAUAUUUUGAACCGCAUGGUUCAAAAGUGAAAGACGGUCUUGCUGUCACUUAUAGAUGGAUCCGCGCUGCAUUAGCUAGUUGGUAAGGUAACGGCUUACCAAGGCAACGAUGCAUAGCCGACCUGAGAGGGUGAUCGGCCACACUGGAACUGAGACACGGUCCAGACUCCUACGGGAGGCAGUAGUAGGGAAUCUUCCGCAAUGGGCGAAAGCCUGACGGAGCAACGCCGCGUGAGUGAUGAAGGUCUUCGGAUCGUAAAACUCUGUUAUUAGGGAAGAACAUAUGUGUAAGUAACUGUGCGCAUCUUGACGGUACCUAAUCAGAAAGCCACGGCUAACUACGUG